GAUGAACGCUAGCGGCAGGCUUAACACAUGCAAGUCGAGGGGUAUAGUUCUUCGGAAUUAGAGACCGGCGCACGGGUGCGUAACGCGUAUGCAAUCUACCUUUCACAGAGGGAUAGCCCAGAGAAAUUUGGAUUAAUACCUCAUAGUAUAGCAGUUUCGCAUGAAACCACUAUUAAAGUCACAACGGUGAAAGAUGAGCAUGCGUCCCAUUAGCUAGUUGGUAAGGUAACGGCUUACCAAGGCAACGAUGGGUAGGGGUCCUGGAGAGGGAGAUCCCCCACACUGGUACUGAGACACGGACCAGACUCCUACGGGAGGCAGCAGUGAGGAAUAUU
RNAcentral lists this ribosomal RNA (335 nucleotides) under uncultured bacterium. RNAcentral's name for it is "bacterial SSU rRNA". It matches the Rfam family "Bacterial small subunit ribosomal RNA", at positions 28 to 365 of the family's 1533-position model. The record is from RNAcentral.